GGGACGGUUGUCUAGAUGGUUAUGAUGCUGGCCUUACGAGCCAGAGGUCGGGAGUUCAAAUCUCCCCCGUCCCA
RNAcentral lists this transfer RNA (74 nucleotides) under Promethearchaeota archaeon. Its description in RNAcentral is "Candidatus Lokiarchaeota archaeon (marine sediment metagenome) tRNA-Val". It matches the Rfam family "tRNA". From Rfam's summary of the family: Transfer RNA (tRNA) molecules are approximately 80 nucleotides in length. Their secondary structure includes four short double-helical elements and three loops (D, anti-codon, and T loops). RNAcentral also lists the same sequence under 1 other name. The record is from RNAcentral. Lineage: Archaea; Promethearchaeati; Promethearchaeota.